Molecule: ribosomal RNA, 369 nt
Filed under: uncultured organism
Description: bacterial SSU rRNA
Rfam family: Bacterial small subunit ribosomal RNA
Source: RNAcentral
CGGAGGGUGCAAGCGUUAUCCGGAUUCACUGGGUUUAAAGGGUGCGUAGGUGGGCUAGUAAGUCAGUGGUGAAAUCCCCGAGCUUUAACUCGGGAACUGCCAUUGAUACUAUUAGUCUCGAAUACCGUGGAGGUCAGCGGAAUAUGUCAUGUAGCGGUGAAAUGCUUAGAUAUGACAUAGAACACCAAUUGCGAAGGCAGCUGGCUACACGAAUAUUGACACUGAGGCACGAAAGCGUGGGGAUCAAACAGGAUUAGAUACCCCGGUAGUCCACGCCCUAAACUAUGGAUACUCGACAUACGCGAUACACAGUGUGUGUCUGAGCGAAAGCAUUAAGUAUCCCACCUGGGAAGUACGAUCGCAAGAUUG